CCCUUAGAUGUUCUGGGCCGCACGCGCGCUACACUGACGAUGGCAACGAGUUUUUCCUUCGCCGAAAGGUGUGGGUAAUCUUUUGAAACAUCGUCGUGCUGGGGAUAGAUCAUUGCAAUUUUUGAUCUUGAACGAGGAAUUCCUAGUAAGCGCGAGACAUCAGCUCGCGUUGAUUACGUCCCUGCCCUUUGUACACACCGCCCGUCGCUACUACCGAUUGAAUGGUUUAGUGAGGACUCCUGAUUGGCGCCGCCGCCCCGGCAACGGAGCAGCGGACUGCCGAAAAGUUGUUCAAACUUGAUCAUUUAGAGGAAGUAAAAGUCGUAACA
This 329-nucleotide ribosomal RNA is filed under the name uncultured eukaryote. Its description in RNAcentral is "partial 18S ribosomal RNA". It matches the Rfam family "Eukaryotic small subunit ribosomal RNA", at positions 1470 to 1796 of the family's 1831-position model. The record is from RNAcentral.